AGGGUGUUAGUCCAAAGCAAGACCUCUGAUUUCGGCUCAGAAGAUUGUGGUUUAAGUCCAUGACCCCCUU
RNAcentral lists this transfer RNA (70 nucleotides) under Hemibarbus maculatus (spotted steed). Its description in RNAcentral is "tRNA-Arg". It matches the Rfam family "tRNA". From Rfam's summary of the family: Transfer RNA (tRNA) molecules are approximately 80 nucleotides in length. The record is from RNAcentral. RNAcentral also lists the same sequence under 3 other names. Lineage: Eukaryota; Metazoa; Chordata; Actinopteri; Cypriniformes; Gobionidae.